Long non-coding RNA from Meriones unguiculatus (Mongolian gerbil), 441 nucleotides. RefSeq lists it as uncharacterized. The transcript is spliced from 3 exons. Lineage: Eukaryota; Metazoa; Chordata; Mammalia; Rodentia; Muridae. The record is from RefSeq and is a predicted model, not a curated record.
CCCUUCCCAUCUGGAUCUCAAGCCUGGAUGCUGCAUCUUGUGUUUUCUUUCAGGUGAUGAGGAUCUAUCUGUGGUUCCCCCAUUCCCUGUCGGGGACAAGCAGAAUCAAGCACCAGGACUACUAGGAUGUCGGCAGUGUCCUUUGCUAGAGAAAGAAGCACACAGGCUGAGGAAGCAGCUAGCCGACAUGUGGGCCCUCAACAAAAGGUUCCAGGCCCUUUGAAGUAAGGGUACUGCUAUCUGCAGCCCUUCCCAUACUCCUGACCGCCCAGGAAGCCAGGUCUCGCCUGCCAGGCUGGAUUCAGCAUCUUACUACCUAUGGAUCCCCGGGGAUGUGGCCUUGCUUCUUCCUUCUACUUAUUCUACAGCCGGAGCCACCUUUGCUGCCCUGAUUUUGCCCCCUGUCUCCACAUUGUGACAGCUCCAGCAUAUUAAAGUCGU